CCUACGGGAGGCAGCAGUGAGGAAUAUUGGUCAAUGGACGAGAGUCUGAACCAGCCAAGUAGCGUGAAGGAUGACUGCCCUAUGGGUUGUAAACUUCUUUUAUAUGGGAAUAAAACGUUCCACGUGUGGGAUUUUGUAUGUACCAUAUGAAUAAGGAUCGGCUAACUCCGUGCCAGCAGCCGCGGUAAUACGGAGGAUACGAGCGUUAUCCGGAUUUAUUGGGGUUAAAGGGAGCGUAGGUGGAUUGUUAAGUCAGUUGUGAAAGUUUGCGGCUCAACCUUAAAAUUGCAGUUGAAACUGGCAGUCUUGAGUACAGUAGAGGUGGGCGGAAUUCGUGGUGUAGCGGUGAAAUGCUUAGAUAUCACGAAGAACUCCGAUUGCGAAGGCAGUUCACUGGACUGCAACUGACACUGAGGCUCGAAAGUGUGGGUAUCAAACAGGAUUAGAUACCCUGGUAGUC
RNAcentral lists this ribosomal RNA (460 nucleotides) under uncultured bacterium. Its description in RNAcentral is "partial 16S ribosomal RNA". It matches the Rfam family "Bacterial small subunit ribosomal RNA", at positions 338 to 795 of the family's 1533-position model. The record is from RNAcentral.